GUGAAGUUUGUAUAUGUUAAUGGCGUAUUAAUAUAUUUGUAUAGAUGGCAGCUGUCUUUUCAUUGCUUAAAUUUAUUCCAAUCAAUAGACAUCGUCUGCUUCUGUUUAUGGUUCUGUACGACGUAUACAGUGCGAUCAUAUGUGUGUUACAAAGCUUUGUUGUCCAAUAAUAUAUAAUGAUGGCCUUCGGUGGAUUACCAAAUUUAAUAUUAGCAGUGUGAUUUUGGACGUGAAAUAUAUAUACUGCAAUCACGAGCUAGAGUAAAAGG
RNAcentral lists this long non-coding RNA (269 nucleotides) under Mytilus galloprovincialis (Mediterranean mussel). The record is from RNAcentral. Lineage: Eukaryota; Metazoa; Mollusca; Bivalvia; Mytilida; Mytilidae.